This 400-nucleotide ribosomal RNA is filed under the name uncultured bacterium. Its description in RNAcentral is "bacterial SSU rRNA". It matches the Rfam family "Bacterial small subunit ribosomal RNA", at positions 355 to 772 of the family's 1533-position model. The record is from RNAcentral.
UGGGGAAUAUUGGACAAUGGGCGCAAGCCUGAUCCAGCCAUUCCGCGUGAGUGAUGAAGGCCUUAGGGUUGUAAAGCUCUUUUACCCGGGAUGAUAAUGACAGUACCGGGAGAAUAAGCCCCGGCUAACUCCGUGCCAGCAGCCGCGGUAAUACGGAGGGGGCUAGCGUUGUUCGGAAUUACUGGGCGUAAAGCGCGCGUAGGCGGCUUUGUAAGUUAGAGGUGAAAGCCCGGAGCUUAACUCCGGAACUGCCUUUAAGACUGCAUCGCUAGAAUUGUGGAGAGGUGAGUGGAAUUCCGAGUGCAGAGGUGAAAUUCGUAGAUAUUCGGAAGAACACCAGUGGCGAAGGCGACUCACUGGACACAUAUUGACGCUGAGAUGCGAAAGCGUGGGGAGCAAA